Molecule: transfer RNA, 63 nt
Filed under: Orophyllus montanus
Lineage: Eukaryota; Metazoa; Arthropoda; Insecta; Orthoptera; Tettigoniidae
Description: tRNA-Ala
Rfam family: tRNA
About the family: Transfer RNA (tRNA) molecules are approximately 80 nucleotides in length. Their secondary structure includes four short double-helical elements and three loops (D, anti-codon, and T loops).
Source: RNAcentral
AGGGAUGUAGUUAAGUAUAACAUUUGAAUUGCACUCAAAAAGUACUCCUUAGAGUCUUCCUUA